Cryptomeria japonica (Japanese cedar) is the source of this 1976-nucleotide RNA transcript. It is a transcript of the gene named protein FLX-like 2, with no coding region annotated. The transcript has 11 exons. The record is from RefSeq and is a predicted model, not a curated record. NCBI's taxonomy places the organism in Eukaryota, Viridiplantae, Streptophyta, Pinopsida, Cupressales, Cupressaceae.
UGCACACAGCGAAAAAACAAAUCAGUACUUUUGCUUUAGCUUCUAAACCUAGCGGCCAAAAUAUCAAGUGGUAACCGGCAGAAGAAUUUAAGCUACCGGUCGAUUGCCUGGAUCGGUUUCCUAUAAAGUAUUCCAAGCAUUCACCAUAAUCAUCUUUGCUUAAGUUUUAUUUAUCAUUUUCUCUACUUUAAGGUUUUCAACAUUUAUUUUGGGUGUGCGAGCAAUUUCACAGCAGCUCCUGAAAACAUUACAGAUAGCUGUUUACCUUUACUUUAUCGGAAAUGGCUGGUAGAGGACGAAUGCCGCCCCCUCACGCUAGAUUCCUUCCAGGUCCAGGCAUGAUUCAUGAACCUUUCGGUCCUGGAAUGCACCCCCCAGGGCCUCAUCCUCUGGAUGCAUUGCCUCCUGAGUUAUUGGAACAGAGGUUUGCAAUCCAGCAUGGUGAGAUGCAAAGGCUUGCAGCAGAAAAUCAGAGGCUAGCUGCAACUCAUGUAGCUCUUAGACAAGAUCUUGCUAUUUCACAACAAGAGAUUCAGAGGAUGCAUGCUCACAUGGGAGCUUUUCAGAAUGACAAAGAGCAGCAAGUUAGGGGUUUGAUGGACAAAAUUGCAAAGAUGGAAGCUGAUCUUCAAGCUACAGAGUCCAUGAAAGUUGAUUUGCAACAGGCUCGUGCUGAUGCACAAAGUUUGAUGACAAUGAGACAAGAAUUGACAGCUCAAGUGCAAGAGCUUAAUCUGGAAUUGCAGAGAUGCCAUGCAGAUGUACAGCAGAUCCCUGCUAUGCAUGCUGAGUUGGACAGUCUGAGGCAAGAGUUUCAGCGAGCAAGGACUGCAUAUGAUUAUGAGAAGGCAGCAAAUAGUGAACAAGUGCAACAACUACAGUCAAUGGAAAAGAACUUUAUUUCCAUGGCAAGAGAAGUGGAGAGGUUACGUGCUGAGCUGGCUAAUGUUGACAAGAGAGGGAGUGCUGCAGCUUAUGGUGCUAGUUUUAAAGAUCCUGAUGCUCGUGAAGCUCGUGAAUCUCGUGGACCCAACAUGUAUGGAGAUGGCUAUGGGAUUCCUCAGAUGGCUGUUGCACCUGGAAGUGGUGCUGCCUAUGGCCCUGGGCCUACUUCGGGCAGGGGGGGAUAUGAUAUGCCUCGUGGAGGUGGUUCACAGAUGCCAGUUCCACCUGUGAAUGGUGCUCCAUAUGGUUCUGGCCAUACUCCUCCUGGCCGGGUGGGAUAUGAUGUACCUCGAAGUGGUGUUUCUCAUGUUCGGAGAUGAGCUAGCCCCAAUAAGGGACAUCUUGAGUAGAAGAUUUUAGUGAGGAUCAGUUACUUUUAGGUUGAAGGUACUUGAAAUUUCCAUCAAAGAUUUAGAUUUGAGAUCCCUCAGUGCAGCAGUGCAUGUCUUGAUAUGUGAACCAGCCCGGGAAGAAUAUUAGCUGCGUGCACACAUGUACGUGUUGUUUAAUGCUGGAGAGUUUGGGUAUUUGUUGCAUCCAGAUGGUGUUCAAGAUGCUCAUAAAAAGUAUGUCAUAAUGCAGCAUCCUUCAUAUGAUGGCGUUUAUCUCCAGCCAGGAUGCUGCUGCGAGAGUGACAUAUCUCUAGUUCUAGCAUGCACAGCCAUUGCAAAGACAGCAAUCUGACAAAGAAGACAAUAGUGUUAAAUGGCGUUCAAAUGCAUCGAGCUCUUCAAUUGGAUGAUAUGUUUAUCAUAUUGUUCAUGUGUAGGAUCUUGUUUCUAAACAGAUAUUCAUCUGUCUAGAGCAGUAAAUUAGUGAAUUUUGAUUGUAAUGUAUCAUGAGAUUAGAUUCAUCAGGUAUCUCAUGGGUUGAUGUUGUUUUUGUACAUUUGUCAUUAAAUACAGGUAACAAAUGCUAAUGCAGUAAAAAGCUAGCAUUUGCUCACUUAUUUAUCUGCCAAAGUAUUUUAUCAUAUCAACAAACAGGCACGUAUGAACCAGAAUAUUGUUCAUUUGAAGUUGGUACAACCA